RNAcentral lists this ribosomal RNA (253 nucleotides) under uncultured bacterium. RNAcentral describes it as "partial 16S ribosomal RNA". It matches the Rfam family "Bacterial small subunit ribosomal RNA", at positions 524 to 776 of the family's 1533-position model. The record is from RNAcentral.
UACGUAGGGUGCAAGCGUUGUCCGGAAUUAUUGGGCGUAAAGAGCUCGUAGGCGGUUUGUCGCGUCUGCUGUGAAAACUCGGGGCUUAACCCCGGGCCUGCAGUGGGUACGGGCAGACUAGAGUGCGGUAGGGGAGACUGGAAUUCCUGGUGUAGCGGUGGAAUGCGCAGAUAUCAGGAGGAACACCGGUGGCGAAGGCGGGUCUCUGGGCCAUUACUGACGCUGAGGAGCGAAAGCGUGGGGAGCGAACAGG